AUUACCUAGAGUUGUAGGCUUUGCCUGCUAUCUCUUACCCAUGUCUUUUGAGUACCUUCGUUUCCUCGGCGGGUCCGCCCGCCGAUUGGACAAAUUUAAACCCUUUGCAGUUGCAAUCAGCGUCUGAACAAACAUAAUUGUUACAACUUUCAACAACGGAUCUCUUGGUUCUCGCAUCAAUGAAGAACGCAGCAAAACGCGAUAGGUAAUGUGAAUUGCGGAAUUCAGUGAAUCAUCGAAUCUUUGAACGCAUAUUGCGCCUCUUGGUGGACCAUGGGGCAUGUCUGUUCGAGAGUGAUGCUCAAUGAUCAAGCCAUUGUUUUGAUGCAGUGGACUUGUUUUUGAGUCCUGGGAGUCCAGCUUCCCUGGCUCUAAAGUGGUGGUCUUGCGGUCCAUGUUGAACCAUGAACAUGAUAAUGUAAAACUCAUUGUUCUGUGGUGCUUAACUGGGGCUAGCCUUAACAACCUUAAAUUCUAACUUCGGAUCAGACAAGAAUACCCGCUGAACUUAAGCAUAUCAAUAAGCGGAGGA
RNAcentral lists this ribosomal RNA (532 nucleotides) under uncultured fungus. Its description in RNAcentral is "eukaryotic LSU rRNA". The stretch from base 145 to 298 matches the Rfam family "5.8S ribosomal RNA". The record is from RNAcentral. Lineage: Eukaryota; Fungi.